UGGGGAAUAUUGGACAAUGGGGGGAACCCCGAUCCAGCAAUGCCGCGUGUGUGAAGAAGGCCUGAGGGUUGUAAAGCACUUUCAGAGGGGAGGAGGACUAUUAGGUUAAGAGCUAGAUAGUUGGACGUUACCCUCAGAAGCAGCACCGGCUAACUCCGUGCCAGCAGCCGCGGUAAUACGUAGGGACCAAGCGUUGUUCGGAUUUACUGGGCGUAAAGGGCGCGUAGGCGGCAAUUCGAGUCAUCUGUGAAAUCUCCGGGCUUAACUCGGAACGGUCAGAUGAUACUGCUUUGCUAGAGUGCAGAAGGGGCAAUCGGAAUUCUUGGUGUAGCGGUGAAAUGCGUAGAUAUCAAGAGGAACACCUGAGGUGAAGACGGGUUGCUGGGCUGACACUGACGCUGAGGCGCGAAAGCCAGGGGAGCAAACGGGAUUAGAUACCCAGGUAGUCCCUGAGCGGGCUGGCAAGGCGCAU
This 472-nucleotide ribosomal RNA is filed under the name uncultured bacterium. RNAcentral's name for it is "bacterial SSU rRNA". It matches the Rfam family "Bacterial small subunit ribosomal RNA", at positions 355 to 825 of the family's 1533-position model. The record is from RNAcentral.